AUUGAACGCUGGCGGCAUGCCUUACACAUGCAAGUCGAACGGUAACGGGCCUUCGGGUGCCGACGAGUGGCGAACGGGUGAGUAAUACAUCGGAACGUGCCCGAUCGUGGGGGAUAACGAGGCGAAAGCUUUGCUAAUACCGCAUACGAUCUACGGAUGAAAGCAGGGGACCGCAAGGCCUUGCGCGGACGGAGCGGCCGAUGGCAGAUUAGGUAGUUGGAGGGAUAAAAGCUUACCAAGCCGACGAUCUGUAGCUGGUCUGAGAGGAUGAUCAGCCACACUGGGACUGAGACACGGCCCAGACUCCUACGGGAGGCAGCAGUGGGGAAUUUUGGACAAUGGGCGCAAGCCUGAUCCAGCCAUGCCGCGUGCAGGAUGAAGGCCUUCGGGUUGUAAACUGCUUUUGUACGGAACGAAAAGCCUUCUUUUAAUACAGGAGGGUCAUGACGGUACCGUAAGAAUAAGCACCGGCUAACUACGUG
RNAcentral lists this ribosomal RNA (482 nucleotides) under uncultured bacterium. Its description in RNAcentral is "partial 16S ribosomal RNA". It matches the Rfam family "Bacterial small subunit ribosomal RNA", at positions 30 to 507 of the family's 1533-position model. The record is from RNAcentral.